This 218-nucleotide ribosomal RNA is filed under the name uncultured bacterium. RNAcentral describes it as "partial 16S ribosomal RNA". It matches the Rfam family "Bacterial small subunit ribosomal RNA", at positions 335 to 573 of the family's 1533-position model. The record is from RNAcentral.
ACUCCUACGGGAGGCAGCAGUGGGAAUCUUAGACGAAUGGGGAAACCCUGAUCUAGCCAUGCCGCGUGAGCGAUGAAGGCCUUAGGGUUGUAAAGCUCUUUCAGCGGGAAGAUAAUGACGGUACCCGCAGAAGAAGCCCCGGCUAACUCCGUGCCAGCAGCCGCGGUAAUACGGAGGGGCUAGCGUUGUUCGGAAUUACUGGGCGUAAAGCGCGCGUA